AACGCACAUUGCGCCUCCUGGUAUUCCGGGAGGCACGCCCGUUUGAGCGUCAGCUUACCUCUCCGGCCGACUUUUGUCGGUCGGGCUUUGGCGUGGGGAUUCGGCCCGGCGGAUUUCCGCCCGGCCUGCCCCCGCUUAAACGCGGAGAAAGCUAGCGGGCGAGCCCCCGAACGCAACAACUUGUAGAAACCUUUUGCUGUUGUGAGCGUCUCGGCGGCCGCCAGCCUCUAAACCUGAAGGCCCCCGCGGCCUUGAACUUUUGACCUCAAAUCGGGCGAGGAUACCCGCUGAACUUAA
RNAcentral lists this unclassified non-coding RNA (297 nucleotides) under uncultured fungus. RNAcentral's name for it is "partial contains 5.8S ribosomal RNA, internal transcribed spacer 2, and large subunit ribosomal RNA". The record is from RNAcentral. Lineage: Eukaryota; Fungi.